CGUAGGGUGCAAGCGUUUAAUCGGAAUUACUGGGCGUAAAGCGUGCGCAGGUCGGUUUUAUAAGUCUGAUGUGAAAUCCCCGGGCUCAACCUGGGAACUGCAUUGGAGACUGUAAGGCUAGAGUGUGUCAGAGGGGGGUAGAAUUCCACGUGUAGCAGUGAAAUGCGUAGAUAUGUGGAGGAAUACCGAUGGCGAAGGCAGCCCCCUGGGAUAACACUGACGCUCAUGCACGAAAGCGUGGGGAGCAAACAGGAUUAGAUACCCUGGUAGUCCACGCCCUAAACGAUGUCUACUAGUUGUCGGGUCUUAAUUGACUUGGUAACGCAGCUAACGCGUGAAGUAGACCGCCUGGGGAGUACGGUCGCAAGAUUA
RNAcentral lists this ribosomal RNA (372 nucleotides) under uncultured organism. RNAcentral describes it as "bacterial SSU rRNA". It matches the Rfam family "Bacterial small subunit ribosomal RNA", at positions 526 to 896 of the family's 1533-position model. The record is from RNAcentral.